Trichonephila inaurata madagascariensis is the source of this 73-nucleotide non-coding RNA. The record is from the annotation of a GenBank genome assembly. Lineage: Eukaryota; Metazoa; Arthropoda; Arachnida; Araneae; Nephilidae.
GUCCCUGCAGCGCGGUGGAUAUCGAAUUGGAUUUUUAAUCCAAAGGUCGUGGGUUCGAAUCCCACCAGGGAUG